Molecule: non-coding RNA, 444 nt
Organism: Clarias gariepinus (North African catfish)
Lineage: Eukaryota; Metazoa; Chordata; Actinopteri; Siluriformes; Clariidae
Source: the annotation of a RefSeq genome assembly
AUGACUUUGAUCCCCGUCUUCAUCUGGACACUGAUCCUCUGGACUCAAGAAUGCAGAGGUCAAGUCACAGUAACUCAGACUCCUGCAGUGAAAUCUGCUCGUCCAGGAGAAACAGUCAUCAUCAACUGUAGAACCAGAGAAACAGUCACCAUCAACUGUAGAACCAGUCAGGCAGUGUAUAGCAACAACCAAUUACACUGGUAUCAGCAGAAACCUGGAGAAGCUCCUAAACUCCUCAUUAAACUUGCCAAUCAGCUUCAGUCAGGUUUUCCAGCUCGUUUCAGUGGCAGUGGAUCUGGAUCUGAUUUCACUCUGACUAUCAGUGGAGUCCAGACUGAAGAUGUAGCAGAUUACUACUGUCAGAGUUACCAUUACAUCAGUAGUAAACAUGUGUUCACACAGUGUUAUAGAGUCGUACAAAAACCUCCCUCAGUCAGAUUGUAG